AAAACUUAAGAAAGAAUAAUAAUAUUCUAUUAAUUU
This 36-nucleotide transfer RNA is filed under the name Neurosymploca caffra. RNAcentral's name for it is "partial transfer RNA-Ser". The record is from RNAcentral. RNAcentral also lists the same sequence under 1 other name. Lineage: Eukaryota; Metazoa; Arthropoda; Insecta; Lepidoptera; Zygaenidae.